UGUCGUUUGUUUGUUAAUUAUGUGAUAGAAUUGGGUUCGGGAACCGGAGUGCGGAGUGGGGUUAUUCCUGUGCAAGAGUCAGCAACUCAGGGAAAUGGUGUGUUUGGCCCUGAUUUUUGGUCCUGGACUCCUCCCGUGGAGAGUGACGUUCCUUCAGAUGAGGACAGUGUCCAACUUUGCCCGAUGCAAUUGUGGAGAAGGAGCGGACUCCGCAAUUUCUCUCUAUUCCAUUUGCGAGUUUACUUUCUCAAAGACAACAGAGUGACACUCUUCCACCAUUUCAGUCACUUUUAGAGGUUGAGAAAGUGAAAUCUGCAUCUAACCACAGUCGAAGCAAUUAUGAUUCUGAACCUAUGCUCUGUAUUUCUAACAGUUUUGGCUUUACACAAGUUACACAAUUAGAAGGUUGAGUUUUACAAGCUCUUGAGGUCUGCAAAGUGGCAAGCAGCAUGUGGUCUAAACUAGGCUGCCUAAACCGAUCGACAAUGCCUAAACUUGGAAGAAGUAAGGUUUUUGGUUCUGGAGUAGAUCUUGGUAUCAUGCACGCAUUGCAGAUCGACCUUUGUGAUACAUGUGUUUUUAGGUUAGUUACUCUUUAUGUCACCUUGCAAAAUCACACCUGAACAAGUUUCGGAAGGAAGUUGCGCCACAUGAAGUUCUGAAAAGGUUCCAAUCAGGAGAAUCGCUAAUGGAGCUUGUAAGUUCCAAUAUAGUCAAACAACUUUCGCUAAUGGAGCUUCUGCUGAAAAAUCUAGUAGAUAGCAGAAAGAAGGUAAAGUCGUGGAUAAAGGAUGAAAAAGCUGAUCCUAUAAGAGUUCAGCAACGAGAUAUUCAGCAGCAAGCACUUAAGCUUACCGCUAGCAGAAGUAUGUAUGGAUGCCUGUGAUUUUCUAAUUAAAGAGGUAGAGGCAGGAGGCAGGACCAGAACUAGGAGCCAAAGCCAGGAGCCAAAGCUAAGAGCUAAAACUAGUAGCUAGUAGCUAACAACUAAUACUAGUAAUUAGAGAUAGUAGCUAA
Long non-coding RNA from Vigna unguiculata (cowpea), 1017 nucleotides. RefSeq lists it as uncharacterized. The record is from RefSeq and is a predicted model, not a curated record. Lineage: Eukaryota; Viridiplantae; Streptophyta; Magnoliopsida; Fabales; Fabaceae.